GAUGAAGAACGCAGCGAAAUGCGAUAAGUAAUGUGAAUUGCAGAAUUCAGUGAAUCAUCGAAUCUUUGAACGCACAUUGCGCCCCCUGGUAUUCCGGGGGGCAUGCCUGUUCGAGCGUCAUUUCACCACUCAAGCCUCGCUUGGUAUUGGGCAACGCGGUCCGCCGCGUGCCUCAAAUCGACCGGCUGGGUCUUCUGUCCCCUAAGCGUUGUGGAAACUAUUCGCCAAAGGGUGUUCGGGAGGCUACGCCGUAAAACAACCCCAUUUCUAAGGUUGACCUCGGAUCAGGUAGGGAUACCCGCUGAACUUAAGCAUAUCAAUAAGCGGAGGA
Molecule: unclassified non-coding RNA, 331 nt
Filed under: soil metagenome
Description: partial contains 5.8S ribosomal RNA, internal transcribed spacer 2, and large subunit ribosomal RNA
Rfam family: 5.8S ribosomal RNA (bases 1-120)
Source: RNAcentral